UAAGAUACAAAAGAGUGAGUGAUACCUAUACCAAUCAAAGAACGUGCGAUAGAAUUAUGAACAAAAAGCAUACCAUGAAUGAUAGCAGGAGUAGAGGGGACACUAGGCUUAUCCAGGUGGUAAACAUGUCCCUGAGCAGCUAAUCUGGUGAGGUCCUUGGGCCUUUUUGGGUAAUUAUUCACCAAAUGCUGUGUACUCGCAUACUUGUAACAGGAGUGGUUCAAACGUCGACAGGGUUGGUCACUAUGGUAGGGACCAUAAUAUCACAAGGGGGAGAAGUCCAAAUAGUAGGUGGUGGAACAACACGAGGUCUUUCAUCUGAGCAGUCAGGGCCAAGGUUAGGAAUUCUCCUCUUCUGCUGCUAUUGUUGCUAACUGUGGAAGUGGGUGAUGCGUUGGUU
RNAcentral lists this long non-coding RNA (400 nucleotides) under Carica papaya (papaya). RNAcentral describes it as "long non-coding RNA (CPAP_LNC013002)". The record is from RNAcentral. Lineage: Eukaryota; Viridiplantae; Streptophyta; Magnoliopsida; Brassicales; Caricaceae.